RNAcentral lists this ribosomal RNA (1802 nucleotides) under Gammarus nekkensis. RNAcentral's name for it is "SSU rRNA". It matches the Rfam family "Eukaryotic small subunit ribosomal RNA", at positions 186 to 1619 of the family's 1831-position model. Lineage: Eukaryota; Metazoa; Arthropoda; Malacostraca; Amphipoda; Gammaridae. The record is from RNAcentral.
CAUUGCUCUGACGGAUGCUUUUAUUAGACCAAGCCGCUGAGGACUUGAGAGUUCGAUCUCUUGUCUGACUCGUGUAAUGGUGACUCUGGAUAACCAAAUUUCUGACAAGCGCACGUACUUCUCUUCUGAGCGAGACGGCGCUGCCACUUUCGAGUGUCUGCCUUAUCAGCUAUCAACCGUUCGUUAUGCGCGACCGAUGGCUUUGACGGGUAACGGGGAAUCAGGGUUCGAUUCCGGAGAGGCAGCCUGAGAGACGGCUACCACGUCCAAGGACGGCAGCAGGCACGCAAAUUACCCAAUCCCAGCAAAUGGGGGAGGUAGUGACGAAAUCUAACGAUGCGGGCGCCCUUUCUGGGGCCCCGCAAUCGGAAUGGGCACUUUCUAAACAACCUGUUGAGAACCUACUGAAGGGCAAGUCUGGUGCCAGCAGCCGCGGUAAUUCCAGCUUCAGCAGCAUCUAUUAAAGUUGCUGCGGUUAAAAGGCUCGCAGUUGAAUGUCUGUAUCGAGCGCAGGUCAGGUGGACGUUGGGGCGUGGAAGUACGGGCAGUUGGAUGUCCGGAGGGCCUUCGUGCUCAACGGCUCCUUCGGCUUUUCCACACACCCCCGUCCGUGACAAGCCUCCUCGCUCGGGUACAUAACGGGAAUCGGUCAAACGGAGUGUGGUCGAGGGUUGAGGUGCGUGGCUUCGGUUGCGUGCUUCUUCUUUCGGCUGCGUUAAGCUCCAUCGGUUUCACGGUCACCUUGAGUAAAUCAGAGUGCUCAAAGCAGUCGUAGGGGCCUUGCGCCCUGUGAACAGUCUUGACGGACUGACUUGGUUUUGCAUGGCAUGUCGGAAGACGACGUCGUGUGCUGGCUCAGAGGAUAAAUCAGUGGUACAAGCCAGCCUCGACGUAAUGAUUAAAAGGGACGGUCGAGGGCAUUGGUAUUGCGAGGCGAGAGGUGAAAUUCUGUGACCCCCGCAAGACCUCCUGAAGCGAAAGCGUCUGCCAAGGACGUUUUCAUUAAUCAUGAACGAAAGUUAGAGGAUCGAAGGCGAUCAGAUACCGCCCUAGUUCUAACCCUAAACGAUGCCAACCAUCAAUCCGCGCGUAGCACCCUUCUUAACGGGCUCGGCGGGCAGCUCCCCACUCACGGGAAACCAGAGCCUCUGGGUUCCGGGGGGAGUCUGGUUGCAAAGCUGAAACUUAAAGGAAUUGACGGAAAGGCACCACCAGGCGUGGAGCCUGCGGCUUAAUUUGACUCAACACGGGCCAUCUCACCAGGCCAGCACUCUUGUACGAUUGACAGAUGAGAGCUCUUUCUCGAUUCAGUGGAUGGUGGUGCAUGGCCGUUCUUAGUUGGUGGAGUGAUCUGUCUGGUUAAUUCCGAUAACGAACGAGACUCUCCCCUGCUAACUAGUCGGUUGGAUCUUGAUCAGCGGGUUGCGUGCCGAGUAACUCUCGCUGUGCGUGGUUCGUAGCUGGGCCUCACGGUUCGUUGCGUCCUCGCGUGGUGUUGGAUGCCUUGGAUCACACUGCACCCCAAGUCCGCCGCUUAUGCUAUAACUCUUCUUAGAGGGAUUCACGGCACUGAAGCCGUAAGAGACUGAGAGCAAUAACAGGUCUGUGAUGCCCUUAGAUGCUCUGGGCCGCACGCGCGCUACAAUGCCGGGCACAGCAGGUGUUUCUCCUUCUCCGACAGGAGCGGGUAACCCUCUGAAAGCCAGUGUUCUUGCAAGUGCUUCCUCCCUCGUGGAGUUGCACAGAGGCGUGCUUGGGCCUGGGACUUGCAAUUCUUUCCCACCAACGAGGAAUGCCUAGUA